AAAAAUACAGGUAAUGGUGUUCUUUGCUUAUGAACACUGUUAAUUGGACUUCAUAUAAAGUGAUUUAAUUUUCCCUUUUUGACUUGAAAUAAUGAUCUUCAGUAGGAUUUUUCUGAAGAGAGGAUGUGAAACUGAAUUUCAGAAUGUGUGCCCUUUGGCAAGUCACUUAACUGCUUUGAUCCUCCAUUCCCUUACCAUGAGGGAGUUGAACUGGAUAACUUCAAACCCCUUCCAGGUCUAGAUCUGUGGCAUUGUAAAUUUAAUUAAACCCUUAUUAAAAACCUACUAUGUUCAUGUCAUUGUGUUAGGGCUGACCAUACGAAUACACAAAGGUAACAAUUACUGCCCUCAAAGAGUUUAUGUUCUAUUUGGCCACAAGUAUCUUUCCCACCACUGAAUUCACGCAUAGUUACAUCGGAUAUCCCAGCCAUAUACAAUUUUGUAGUGAAAACGCUAUCAAUACUGUGAUUACCUUUUAUAAUUUUUUUCUCCUUCCUAUCUUCUGAGCAGCCACUGUACUUGAGAGGACUAUUCCAAAAUCAAGAAAUGGAACACUCUGAGCAAAGGAAUAAGAAUUAAGUCAAGCCAGCAAGCAUUUAUUAUGGCCUUUCUAUGUGCCAGUCAUGUUGCUAAGCGCUGGCAAUACAAAUACUAGCAGAAAAACAGACCUGCCCUCAAGGAGCUUACAUUCUAAUGGGGUAAAAGAGAACAAUAAAAAAAAACUGGAGAGUAAGAAGUUGGGAAAGAGGAAGAUUCAGUCAGUACAGAGGAUGACUUAGUUUCAGUCUAUAUUCAAUACCUGAGGAUAUCCCUGAAGAUCUUUGGUCAAAGUCUUCCACAGAUGUAGGUCUAUUGAAAUCAGCUACUCCAGUAAGGGUAAGGACUAAGGAAGGACCAGUUCCUUGUGUUCCUCAAUAUCCCUUGACUAAAGAAGCAAUUGAGGAUAUAAGACCAAUCAUUGAAUCCCUAAUCCAUCAAGGGAUCAUAAUUCCUUGCUUCUCAGAAUUUAAUACCCCUCUUCUUCCAAUCAAAAAGCCAAAGUUAGAUCAGAAUGGCAAAGUUGUAUAUCAUCUUAUAUAGGAUUUAAGAACAGUCAAUGAUUAUGUAAUCAAGACUCAUCCUGUCAUACCAAGUCCAGCUGCCAUAAUUUCUUCCAUCCCAAGUCAGGCAAAAUAUUUCAUGAUGGUAGAUUUAUGCUCAGCUUUUCUUUCUCA
Molecule: long non-coding RNA, 1214 nt
Filed under: Monodelphis domestica (gray short-tailed opossum)
Lineage: Eukaryota; Metazoa; Chordata; Mammalia; Didelphimorphia; Didelphidae
Description: lncRNA (ENSMODG00000047064.1)
Source: RNAcentral